This 344-nucleotide long non-coding RNA is filed under the name Gallus gallus (chicken). RNAcentral describes it as "long non-coding RNA NONGGAT003957". Lineage: Eukaryota; Metazoa; Chordata; Aves; Galliformes; Phasianidae. The record is from RNAcentral.
UCUGACUGAAGUUCUGACAUGGAAGCACUUCUGUGAUAAGCCAGUCUUUGCCCUACCAGUCGAUAAGCAAAAUAGAACAGAACUGUUGGAGUGUUCUGUUGGGCAAUGCUCAAAUGUCACCACGACACCAACAUGUCAUCACAGUGACAUCGCUGCGUGGCACCCAGGGCCUGGCUGGCUGAAGCAACCAGAAGAGAUGUCACUGACCAGCACUUGCUGCUGGUCCUGAACAGAGCCACAGGUGUUUAAACAGCAUCUGCCUGCCAGUUAGUGUUUUUGCUACAAGGCAACCCUUACACUAUGGAUAAAGGGCCAUGAUGAAAACCUACAGAAUAAAAUCUUGC